Molecule: ribosomal RNA, 485 nt
Filed under: uncultured bacterium
Lineage: Bacteria
Description: partial 16S ribosomal RNA
Rfam family: Bacterial small subunit ribosomal RNA
Source: RNAcentral
AUUGAACGCUGGCGGCAUGCCUUACACAUGCAAGUCGAACGGCAGCACGGGUGCUUGCACCUGGUGGCGAGUGGCGAACGGGUGAGUAAUACAUCGGAACGUACCUUAUCGUGGGGGAUAACGCAGCGAAAGUUGCGCUAAUACCGCAUACGCCCUGAGGGGGAAAGCGGGGGACCGUAAGGCCUCGCGCGAUUAGAGCGGCCGAUGUCUGAUUAGCUUGUUGGUGAGGUAAAAGCUCACCAAGGCGAUGAUCAGUAGCUGGUCUGAGAGGACGAUCAGCCACACUGAGACUGAGACACGGCCCAGACUCCUACGGGAGGCAGCAGUGGGGAAUUUUGGACAAUGGGGGCAACCCUGAUCCAGCAAUGCCGCGUGAGUGAAGAAGGCCUUCGGGUUGUAAAGCUCUUUUGUCAGGGAAGAAACAGCAGCUCUAACACAGUCUGCGAAUGACGGUACCUGAAGAAUAAGCACCGGCUAACUACGUG